RNAcentral lists this ribosomal RNA (145 nucleotides) under Escherichia coli. The record is from RNAcentral. Lineage: Bacteria; Pseudomonadati; Pseudomonadota; Gammaproteobacteria; Enterobacterales; Enterobacteriaceae.
AAAAAAAAUAGCGCGGUGGUCCCACCUGACCCCAUGCCGAACUCAGAAGUGAAACGCCGUAGCGCCGAUGGUAGUGUGGGGUCCUGUCACGCAGGGGGUCGCGGGUUCGAGUCCCGUCCGUUCCGCCACAUACAAUUCCUGGGGU